GACGAACGCUGGCGGCGUGCUUAACACAGGCAAGUCGAACGGAAAGGCCCUGCUUUUGUGGGGUGCUUGAGUGGCGAACGGGUGAGUAACACGUGAGUAACAUGCUCUUGACUUUGGGAUAACUUCAGGAAACUGGGGCUAAUACCGGAUAGGAGCUCCUGCUGCAUGGUGGGGGUUGGAAAGUUUCGGCGGUUGGGGAUGGACUCGCGGCUUAUCAGCUUGUUGGUGGGGUAGUGGCUUACCAAGGCUUUGACGGGUAGCCGGCCUGAGAGGGUGACCGGCCACAUUGGGACUGAGAUACGGCCCAGACUCCUACGGGAGGCAGCAGUGGGGAAUAUUGCACAAUGGGCGGAAGCCUGAUGCAGCAACGCCGCGUGCGGGAUGACGGCCUUCGAUUUGUAAACCGCUUUCGCCUGUGACGAAGCGUGAGUGACGGUAAUGGGUAAAGAAGCACCGGCUAACUACGUG
This 468-nucleotide ribosomal RNA is filed under the name uncultured bacterium. Its description in RNAcentral is "partial 16S ribosomal RNA". It matches the Rfam family "Bacterial small subunit ribosomal RNA", at positions 28 to 507 of the family's 1533-position model. The record is from RNAcentral.